Quercus robur (English oak) is the source of this 392-nucleotide long non-coding RNA. RefSeq lists it as uncharacterized. Lineage: Eukaryota; Viridiplantae; Streptophyta; Magnoliopsida; Fagales; Fagaceae. The transcript is spliced from 2 exons. The record is from RefSeq and is a predicted model, not a curated record.
UGUGAACCAUAACGAGUCACUCCGGUCUAGCACUAGGGUUUAGCUAUAAAUACUUCCAAACCCUUUCACAUCUUUCACAUUUUCCCCUCGGAUCAUCUAGGGUUUCUGAAAAACCAAACGAGGCAAGAAACACAACCGCGGCGGAUUUUGUUAGUUCAAUCACCAUGAGAGCCAAGUGGAAGAAGAAGCGUAUGAGGAGGCUGAAGAGGAAGCGCCGAAAGAUGAGACAGAGAUCUAAGUAGAAAUGCUUACAGAUACAGUCUCCUUUUGUUUAAUGUUUUGUCUUUUUGAGUCUCGAGAAACAAACAGAGGAUUGCGUUUUUUCUCUCUGUAAUGUCUUUUGACCAAAACUCUGUUGUUGUUAGAUUCUAUCUAAUGGAUUAUUAUUAUUA